This 468-nucleotide ribosomal RNA is filed under the name uncultured bacterium. RNAcentral describes it as "partial 16S ribosomal RNA". It matches the Rfam family "Bacterial small subunit ribosomal RNA", at positions 28 to 507 of the family's 1533-position model. The record is from RNAcentral.
GACGAACGCUGGCGGCGUGCUUAACACAUGCAAGUCGAACGGAAAGGCCCUGCUUUUGUGGGGUGCUCGAGUGGCGAACGGGGGAGUAACACGUGAGUAACCUGCCCUUGACUUUGGGAUAACUUCAGGAAACUGGGGCUAAUACCGGAUAGGAGCUCCUGCUGCAGGGAGGGGGUUGGAAAGUUUCGGCGGUUGGGGAUGGACUCGCGGCUUAUCAGCUUGUUGGUGGGGUAGUGGCUUACCAAGGCUUUGACGGGUAGCCGGCCUGAGAGGGUGACCGGCCACAUUGGGACUGCGAUACGGCCCAGACUCCUACGGGAGGCAGCAGUGGGGAAUAUUGCACAGUGGGCGGAAGCCUGAUGCAGCAACGCCGCGUGCGGGAUGACGGCCUUCGGGUUGUAAACCGCUUUCGCCUGUGACGAAGCGUGAGUGACGGUAAUGGGUAAAGAAGCACCGGCUAACUACGUG